Molecule: long non-coding RNA, 2306 nt
Organism: Anolis carolinensis (green anole)
Lineage: Eukaryota; Metazoa; Chordata; Lepidosauria; Squamata; Anolidae
Source: Ensembl
AUGAGCUCACGAGAAGCUACCCUCUCAUCUGGUUAUACUUUAAAAUGUGAUUAUUUUUUUUCAGGAAAAGAACAAGAGGACACGUCUGGCAGAAGCCUGGAACCUCCAUCCCCCAUCCUACCAGAAGAUACUGUACAACCGCAGGUCACCCAACAGUCUCCAUCCAUCUGCCACUGGCCCGCCUGUCGUCAAAUUUUAAAAUGCAAUGCGGCCCCUGUGUCUAACAGUUUGCCCAUGUCUGAUAUACAUACAUUAUAUAUAGUGUACAAUAUAAUAUAUAAACAUUUCUUGGAGCUCCACAAGAAACUUUUCCUUCAAAAAGGGCCCCACAGCUGAAAAAGUUUGAGAACCCUGGAACAGAAUGUUCAUUCUGCAUCUUAACUUUGGAGAGAGAGAGAGGCAAGUACAUCUACCAUUUGCAUUUUUAAGAAACGAGAAAACCAAGACUUCUUUGUUCAUCUGUAUGCUGUACAUUAUUACAAACUGGAUGGUGUACCCAACACACCAUGAAUCCUACAUGCAGUUUACAUCACAUCAUCUCAAAAGGCCUUUGGCCGAACUGGAAAAAUGUGCAGAGAAGUGAUCCGUCAUGGCUAAUCUUCCAUACAAAGAAAGGCUGGAAAGGUUAGGACUUGAGAUUAUAAAUAUCAUUUACUCAGAGAUAAAAUGAUACUAUGUAGGAUUUAAGUAAUGGAUCCAGCUCAAUGAUUUGUUUGUUUUUCACGCUGACUGUUAGGUAAGUUUAUGGUUCAGUGAAAUAAAACAGCAAUUUGUUUGCAAAGGUGUCAGGAAGCAUGAAUGUGUGUUAUUACUCCAUCUUGCACAUUUCACGGACUAAGUUUCUAACAUGUACUUCCAGAUCUUAAAAGUCUUGGCAUGAGGUUUUAUCAUGUGCUUCCCAUUAGCAUCAGAAGGGAGAGGGGGGAAAUCACAUGUUAAACCCUUCAACUAUUUUGGAAAAUGUUACUUCCUCAGUUCUGUUCUAGAAGUGAGGGAGGAGUAAAAAAUGGAACUUGAUUUUCAGUUUAAUAACUUUUAGUAUAUGAUCACUAUCUGCUUACAGCAUAUUUUGGCUUUGGCUUUUAAAUGUGGAAAGCAACCUGGAGAAUGGAGAUCAUUAGUGUGUAGACAGAAAAAAGAAAUGAAAAAAGACAUCUUCACUGCAGCACCCAAAAUCCUUGCUUACAUAAGUAAAUAAUAUAUGGCACCAUAUGAGACAUUUUUAAGAAACCUUUUUGGUGUGAGCUGAGCAACCUUUGAAUCACUUAAGGUGCCUAUUGCAAGCAAGGUGCCUGAUAUUUUUAGCACCAAAUCAGAGGUCCAUUCUCAUUAUGAUACUAGAUGAAUAAUAAUAAUAAUAAUAAUAAUAAUAAUAAUAAUAAUAAUAAUAAUAAUAAUGGUGCCCCGGUGGCGCAGUGUGUUAAAGCGCUGACUGCUGAACUUGCAAACCGAAAGGUCACAGGUUUGAAUUCCGGGAGCGGAGUGAGCGCCCGCUAUUAGCUCCAGCUUCUGCCAACCUAGCAGUUCGAAAACAUGCAAAUGUGAAUAGAUCAAUAGGUACCACUCCGGCGGGAAGGUAAUGGCACUCCAUGCAGUCAUGCCGGCCACAUGACCUUGGAGGUGUCUAUGAACAAUGCCGUCUCUUCGACUUAGACAUGGAGAUGAGCACCAACCCCCAGAGUCAGACACGACUGGACUUAACGCCAGGGGAAACCUUUACUUUUACCUUUAUUAUUAUUAUUAUUAUUAAAAAAUAAUAAUAAUAUAUCUUGUUUGCUAUGUCAUACUUUAUCUUUGUGUCAAUAAUAAUAAUAAUAAUAAUAAUAAUAAUAAUAAUAAUAAUUCACCAAGUACCAUAAUGAGAAUGUACCUCUGAUUAGGUGCUAAAUUAUUAUUAUUAUUAUUAUUAUUAUUAUUAUUAUUAUUAUCCCACUUUAUCUCUCUAAAAAAAGACCCAAGGAGGUUAACAACACUAAAAACAAUAGUUGGGUAGUAGAGGACAUUUCAGCAGGUAUUCCUGGUCUUGCAAACACUACCUAUGAAAUUUCCUUCUUCUACAAAAUCAUUAAAGUGACAGGAAUCUUGUCCCUUAUUUUAAACCUCGCCUUCAUAAACACUCUUACAACACAUGUAUAGCAGACACCAGAAAACAGAUUCAGUCUCCCAGCUAGCUUUUGCUUUUUCAAUAGCCUAGUAAAGACUGCCCAAAAAACAGAACCUAAAGCAAGAUGCCUAUCUGUGAUUCUAAUAUCAUCACUUUUCUUCCCCUGUAAAAUGUUUAUGAUCUUUGCCUGAUGAAGGGGGCA